This 107-nucleotide small nucleolar RNA is filed under the name Brassica cretica. RNAcentral's name for it is "Plant small nucleolar RNA R71". It matches the Rfam family "Plant small nucleolar RNA R71". From Rfam's summary of the family: R71 is a member of the C/D box family of snoRNAs containing the C (UGAUGA) and D (CUGA) box motifs. Multiple nearly identical copies of this snoRNA have been identified in Arabidopsis, and it is thought to function as a 2'-O-ribose methylation guide for 18S ribosomal RNA. Lineage: Eukaryota; Viridiplantae; Streptophyta; Magnoliopsida; Brassicales; Brassicaceae. RNAcentral also lists the same sequence under 1 other name. The record is from Rfam by way of RNAcentral.
UAACCAUGGUGGGGGCAUUCAAGCUGGUAACUCUUGAAUCUCUCCCAAGCAUUUCUGAAUGAUUCUCGUGGAUCUUGGCGGAAAGUGGAGAUUUCUUCCUUACAUCC